AUUCCAGCUCUGUAAGCGUAUACCAAAGUUGUUGCAGUUAAAACGCUCGUAGUCGGACGUUGGCGGGCGCCUCGAGUCGGCCUCACGGUCGAUCUUGUUGGCGACCGCCUUUGUGGAGGGGGGCUUAGGUCGGUGCUUUAUUGUCAUCCCUUUGUCGCUGCCACCGUUUACUGUGAAAAAAUUAGAGUGUUCAAAGCGGGCGUUUGCCAUGAAUACAUUAGCAUGGAAUAAUAGAAUAGGACCUGGUCCUGUUUUGUUGGUUUGUGAGUAUCAGGUAAUGAUUAAGAGGGACGGUUGGGGGCAUUUGUAUUCCGGCGUCAGAGGUGAAAUUCUUGGAUUGCCGGAAGACAAACAGCUGCGAAAGCGUCUGCCAAGGACGUUUUCAUCA
Molecule: ribosomal RNA, 388 nt
Filed under: Ceramium sp.
Lineage: Eukaryota; Rhodophyta; Florideophyceae; Ceramiales; Ceramiaceae
Description: partial small subunit ribosomal RNA
Rfam family: Eukaryotic small subunit ribosomal RNA
Source: RNAcentral